GGGGGUAUAGCUGAGUGGUACAAUGCUUGCCUAGCAUGCAUGAAGCUCUGGGUUCUGUUCCCAGUACUGCAA
This 72-nucleotide transfer RNA is filed under the name Heterocephalus glaber (naked mole-rat). It matches the Rfam family "tRNA". From Rfam's summary of the family: Transfer RNA (tRNA) molecules are approximately 80 nucleotides in length. Their secondary structure includes four short double-helical elements and three loops (D, anti-codon, and T loops). The record is from Rfam by way of RNAcentral. Lineage: Eukaryota; Metazoa; Chordata; Mammalia; Rodentia; Bathyergidae.